UCAGAAAAUUUUCAAUUUUUUUUUGGUUUUUCUAUGCCUUAGAUGAAUGCAGACUCAAAAAUAUACACAAUGCAAUACACAUUUCCUGAGCCCUCCCCCAAACUUAAAUCACACAGUCCACUGUGCGAAUAAACUUGGAAGAGAGUACUCAGGACAAAUCCAAUCACAGAAACAAAAAAUGAAGAAACAAAUCACAAUAGAUGAUAUAAUACAAUGGUGAAGUGAGGAGCUUACCUCAGUCAAAGAAUGAACGUAGUUGCUCGUCAAUGGCUGCAUGUGAUUGCUCCCAGGCCAUAGAAGAACCGGCUUGUUCUGUAUCAGCUCCAACAGGUGGGUACUCGACCUCAUCAGCUCUCUGGCGGCCAGCACCGCUCUAAGGAUACUCGACCUCUCUCCUUCUACUGCGGCCAGCACCGCAGUCGAGUGAUCUCCUCGAGUGAAUGAGGCGUGAUCUGCUGCUAGAUCGAGUGAGUGUAGCCUUCCUUCUUCUCUUGUGCUCCCGGGAUUCGAAUGACGAAUGCCUAGCCUGGACAUGUGGGACUCUCUGCUCGCUAAGCUCAGGCCUGUGCGCAGGUGCAUUAAAUCUCCUCGAUGGCAUCUCCAGAGGAGGUUGUACUUGUGGAAUAGCAGUGGUGGAGGAAGAGCAACUCAGCUUAUCUGUUUGAAGCUUGAAACACUUGGCGAUCAGCUUGUCAUGCUUCUUGCACCACUUCUGCAAUUUACUGUUAUUCUUAUGAGGUUUAGUCAAGCUCUUGCUCUGCCUCGCUGGAGGUACAUGUUCACCAAAGUGAUACAUGCUAGUGUCGAACUCCACUGCCCUAUCUUCAUCCAUCCCAUCCGAAGCAGCUUCUUCAAGAAAUUCAUCCUCAUCCAAUGGCGGAGCGUUCUCAUAGUAGAGGCGUCCAACCUCAGGCCUAAAAUCAAUGUUAUCUCCCUCUAUUAUCCGUGUAACCUCAGGGCUAGGGAGAAGGAUGUUAGCUCUCCUGUCUGUAGAGUGCUCAAACCUGAACUUGUGGAAAUCGUCAACCAUUGCAAACUCCAGGAAUUCGCAUUUCAUCAGUGAUGGCGGGAAGCAUUUCAUCAACAAGGUUGAACAGGUGCAUUAAAUGAUAAUAGGUUUCUAAGUGCCACCGCAACAGACACUCUCAAGUUAACCUAGUCUCAGACUCAAUCACCAUUGACGAGAGCUAACCUAACAGGCAUUACGAAUCAACAAGUUAAAGCCAAAACGCUCCCUGCAACCAAUACCUUGGUACAGGAUCACGAAUCUCUGGAAUUAGUGGUUCAGACAUUUCAUCGAACACCUUUUAGGCGCGGAAAUGUCUAGGCUCAAAUUCCAGUUGAUCAGAAAGCAAUAUGCAUUAAGAACAACUAAUCCAGAAGGGAUCUAUCAACCAAUACUCAAUCACCUAGCAUACUGAGAAUUCUAUACUACUCUAACCCAUCCUCAGAAACCUAUUCACUACUCAGACAUCAUAACAGAAAGCAUAAACGUUGAACAGGUUGAAGACAUGAUAACAGCAGUGUAACAGCAGGAUGAUAACAGAAUGAACAACAGUAAACGAAAAUCAAGAACAAAAGCUGAAUACUGAAUAGAUAAAAAGAAAUCGGAUUACAAAAGGUCUAGAACACAAAGUCUGCGGAAUAAAACUAGAUAAAAAACUUC
Molecule: small RNA, 1666 nt
Filed under: Arabidopsis thaliana (thale cress)
Lineage: Eukaryota; Viridiplantae; Streptophyta; Magnoliopsida; Brassicales; Brassicaceae
Description: ATSL272220
Source: RNAcentral